RNAcentral lists this long non-coding RNA (1987 nucleotides) under Heterocephalus glaber (naked mole-rat). RNAcentral describes it as "lncRNA (ENSHGLG00000040184.1)". The record is from RNAcentral. Lineage: Eukaryota; Metazoa; Chordata; Mammalia; Rodentia; Bathyergidae.
UUGUGUCUUCCUUCAUAAGGGAAGACCAGGAGAAAUGGAAAAGAGGUAUGAAAUGGAAAUCAGAGGCCACUGACUUCCUUGGCAUUUAAACACCUGCUCUGGGCCUUACAUGACCUUGUAUGUACCUGCUUCCCUCAAAGCAAGAAGUAGCAGCUUCAAGAAUGCCAUUACGCAGGCUCUCCUGGAGCAGAGGGGGAUCGAAUUCGGGACCUUGCGGUUGCAGAACCACUGAACUAAAUCCCUGGCUGUGCCUUCUAAAAGAUAAAAAGCAGAAGAAUGCCUCCUCUCAGAUCAAAGUCAGCCAAAUCUCUCAAAAUCAGAGGCAGAAACAACUUAUAUCCUGUGACUCCUGAGGAUGAGUGCAGCGAGAACGGAGGGAAUUCAGCAGGCAGAGGAGGAGAGGGAGACCUCAAACACUUGGCGCAAGAUUCUUCUGGAAUCUAAACUGUCAAUCUUGUUGAGUGCAGGAAAUGCCACAUAUUUAAAUACCUAUACUGGAAUGAGACCAAACUUCAAAAAUCCCUAGGAAGAGCACCAUAUAGUGAAAGCUUUAUGCGAUGGUGAAGAGAAAAGCUGUGGAUUAUCAAGACAUCAGAGAUGGAGGGAAAAUGCCACCACGGGGUAAAAACCCCACCAGAACGGGAUGAAGGUCUGACUUCUCAGCUACCCUCUGCUUAGCACAAGCAGUAGAGGCAGAAGGGGCACACACUUGCACUUCCACCAGGAACCCCACUCAGACUUCUCAGCAGUUGGCCACCCCGGGCUACUUCUGCUCCUGGGAACCCCAAAGCUGCCCUGAUCUUUUGCAUUAGUCCUAUCCAAGAGAUUGAUUUUUCUCUUUGAUCUGAACCCAUCUUCUUUUAUCUUUGGGGGAGUUCGUCCUGAAUUCAGGGCCAGUCAGAGCAUUUCUUCUCCCAUUGACACACCAAUAUGUAUAAACAAUAUGCAUACAUUUUUCAAUCCUAUAUCCUGCACAUGCAGAACUUGGAAGGCAGAUUCAGGAAACAGGUUCAGUUCUCCUCUCCCAGUUGACUUUUAAGCACAUGCUAUCAAACCUUCCCCCGACCCUGGAACAGUGUCUUAGGCUCUUCAUUGACUCUGGGCCAGUCCAGUGACUUAUCUGAACCCAGCCUUCCAGGUAGAGGAAUGGCAUCUCUCACAAGUCUUUGGUUCCUGACGUCCAAAGAAGACCUUCGCAUCUUUGGCCAUGUUGAUCGAGCCUUUCUGCUGUCCAUUCCAGAAACAAACAUUAAAGUAGAGAAGUGUUGGGGAAGAAGCAAAAUGAAUGAUUGGCUUCCCAGUGGGUUCCAGUACUCUGUCUCUCCGUGUUGCCUCUGUGCAGUACCACUGAGAAAGCAAGGAUAACUUUUGUCUCUAGGACAAAGCCCUGUGCAGAUGUGUGCAGUAAAUAAAAUGUGCCUCAGUCUCCUUCUACCCAAGGCAUCCUGGAAUUAAGAUGCACCCCUCACAUGAACCCAUGAGGAUUGUACUGGGGAGUAUUACAUCACAGAAGAGCAUCACAUGACAACCCACAACCAGAUUUAAAUCCCAGCCCUGUCUCAACCCUUUUCAGAAAACUACUAGCAUCUACUAAUGUCAAUGUGAAUGCAUAUACAUUAAAACAACCACGUGUAUAUGUAAGUGUUCUUAAUGUGCUUAUUCAUAUUUCCCAAACCAGGAGCAAUCCAAAUAUAAACCAAAGACACAAUAUAUAAAUAUAUUGUUCCACAUUCAUAUUAUGGAAUAUUGUACAGCAAUUAUAGAGAAUGAAUUGUUUAUUGCUAUACCUAGCAACAUAGAGGAAUUCCACAGCUUUAAUAUCAGGUGAAAGUUGUCAGACACAAAGGAACACAUACUGUAUAAUGCCAUUUAGACAAAACUUUAAGACAGACCAAAAUAAUCCAUGGUGGUAGCCAUCAGAAGUUAUGUUUGGUGGGAGUAUUUCCGGGAAGGUGAGGGAACUUUCUGGGGUUCUGGGAAUGUUCUG